This 495-nucleotide ribosomal RNA is filed under the name uncultured bacterium. RNAcentral describes it as "partial 16S ribosomal RNA". It matches the Rfam family "Bacterial small subunit ribosomal RNA", at positions 28 to 507 of the family's 1533-position model. The record is from RNAcentral.
GACGAACGCUGGCGGCGUGCCUAAUACAUGCAAGUAGAACGCUGAAGGAGGAGCUUGCUCUUCUGGAUGAGUUGCGAACGGGUGAGUAACGCGUAGGUAACCUGCCUGGUAGCGGGGGAUAACUAUUGGAAACGAUAGCUAAUACCGCAUAAGAGUAGAUGUUGCAUGACAUUUGCUUAAAAGGUGCAAUUGCAUCACUACCAGAUGGACCUGCGUUGUAUUAGCUAGUUGGUGGGGUAACGGCUCACCAAGGCGACGAUACAUAGCCGACCUGAGAGGGUGAUCGGCCACACUGGGACCGAGACACGGCCCAGACUCCUACGGGAGGCAGCAGUAGGGAAUCUUCGGCAAUGGACGGAAGUCUGACCGAGCAACGCCGCGUGAGUGAAGAAGGGUUUCGGAUCGUAAAGCUCUGUUGUAAGAGAAGAACGAGUGUGAGAGUGGAAAGUUCACACUGUGACGGUAUCUUACCAGAAAGGGACGGCUAACUACGUG